Gossypium hirsutum (cotton) is the source of this 122-nucleotide non-coding RNA. The record is from Rfam. NCBI's taxonomy places the organism in Eukaryota, Viridiplantae, Streptophyta, Magnoliopsida, Malvales, Malvaceae.
AAUAGGAGUAUGAAAAAUCAGAUUUUUCUCCUGAUUUUCAACUUUUUCCUCCAGAAAAAAUUCAAAUCCAACUAAAAAUGCUAAAAAUCAGAAGGAAAAAUUUGAUUUGUCAUGCUCUUAUU